GAUGAACGCUGGCGGCGUGCCUAAUACAUGCAAGUCGAGCGAACGGACGAGAAGCUUGCUUCUCUGAUGUUAGCGGCGGACGGGUGAGUAACACGUGGAUAACCUACCUAUAAGACUGGGAUAACUUCGGGAAACCGUAGCUAAUACCGGAUAAUAUUUUGAACCGCAUGGUUCAAUAGUGAAAGACGGUCUUGCUGUCACUUCUCGAUGGAUCCGCGCUGCAUUAGCUAGUUGGUAAGGUAACGGCUUACCAAGGCAACGAUGCAUAGCCGACCUGAGAGGGUGAUCGGCCACACUGGAACUGAGACACGGUCCAGACUCCUACGGGAGGCAGCAGUAGGGAAUCUUCCGCAAUGGGCGAAAGCCUGACGGAGCAACGCCGCGUGAGUGAUGAAGGUCUUCGGAUCGUAAAACUCUGUUAUUAGGGAAGAACAUAUGUGUAAGUAACUGUGCACAUCUUGACGGUACCUAAUCAGAAAGCCACGGCUAACUACGUG
RNAcentral lists this ribosomal RNA (497 nucleotides) under uncultured bacterium. RNAcentral's name for it is "partial 16S ribosomal RNA". It matches the Rfam family "Bacterial small subunit ribosomal RNA", at positions 28 to 507 of the family's 1533-position model. The record is from RNAcentral.